AUCAGUGUAGUGUAGUGGUUUGACUGUGGACUGUGACUCUGGAGACCAGAGUUUGAAUCCCUGUUCAGCUA
Molecule: non-coding RNA, 71 nt
Organism: Phrynosoma platyrhinos (Desert horned lizard)
Lineage: Eukaryota; Metazoa; Chordata; Lepidosauria; Squamata; Phrynosomatidae
Source: the annotation of a GenBank genome assembly